CCCAUUAAUAUUUGGGCUUUGAACCUGUCGACCUGCAAAGAAAUACUCAUUUUCUUGGCAGCCUGUCAUGAAAGGUCUUUUAAUAUUCCUUCAAGCACAGCUAUUUUUCUGUGGUCGAAGUUGUGGUCCGUUGAAAUCUAUAUGGUAUUUUUUUGAAACUCCAUCUCAGCACAGUUUGAGACUAUUUAGCCCAUUUACUUUGAAGAAUGUAAGAAGACUGCAUGAGAAUAAUUUUAAGUAAACCUUCCAACAAAGCCACACUGUCCACAUAAGUUCUACGUCUGCCUAUGGACAACAUGGAAGUAAGCCCCUGUCUCUGGCCAUCAGUUCCUGCUUGAAGUUCUCUGAAAGACAAUGGGAUGAGCCAAGCAACAUGCUGUGUGUCUAUGAGAUCCAGCUUGGUAUAGACCUGUAUGUCUUUAAUACAGGAAAAUCUCUGACACAAUGAAACAAGACAAGACUGUCAGAGUAUUUUCUAGAAAUCAGAGAUUUCAGCUAAAAAUACUUUUGCACUAAGUGAUGUCUUUUCAUUUCUAAUUUAUACCAGAAUUCCAAUAAAAGCCAGCUUGCCCAAAAUGAGGCUGAGUCAGCCAUACUUGGAGAACCACAAAAAUGGAUUGCUCUAUUUCUCAGAAGGAUGCUUGCCACUCUAGAGUCAGGUUUGUCUGAGGAAGGUCAGAAAAUAUAAUAAAGGUCCACAGUUCCUUAUCUGAAAUGUCAAAUUCAAGAAGGCUCUAACACAAAUGCUUGUUUUGGUAACAUGUUUCCUGGAAGUAGCAAAACCUAACCUGAAUGAGUUGAGAUUGUUUUGGGUUUGAAUUCAUCCCACAGAACAUGACUGUUCUAUGGAUUUGACUACAGAAAUAUUGAAGUGUUUGACUAAGAGAUUUUAUCCUAUCUCCUACACUUGAUGUUUCAUGUGUAGAAUACAGGCAAUUUUAUAAUAUUUAAUGUGGUUAAGGAGCUGGUGAUCCAACUCAGUGGCACAGCACGUGUUUAGUAUGCAUGAGGCCUAUAAUUCACUCCCAGCACACAAAAGCUUAAAAUAUGGUUAAACCAAAAACCCACAUGGCUCCAUAUAUUUACAAGAGUAUCUAGACCUGUAAUAAUAAUGAUAGUUAAUGUACUAAGGUAAUACAUUAAGCACCCC
This 1150-nucleotide long non-coding RNA is filed under the name Fukomys damarensis (Damara mole-rat). RNAcentral describes it as "lncRNA (ENSFDAG00000028537.1)". Lineage: Eukaryota; Metazoa; Chordata; Mammalia; Rodentia; Bathyergidae. The record is from RNAcentral.